RNAcentral lists this ribosomal RNA (857 nucleotides) under uncultured Myxococcales bacterium. RNAcentral's name for it is "bacterial SSU rRNA". It matches the Rfam family "Bacterial small subunit ribosomal RNA", at positions 28 to 897 of the family's 1533-position model. The record is from RNAcentral. Lineage: Bacteria; Pseudomonadati; Myxococcota; Myxococcia; Myxococcales.
AACGAACGCUGGCGGCGCGCUUAACACAUGCAAGUCGAGCGCUCAGGGGCAACUCUGGGAGCGGCGAACGGGUGCGUAACACGUGGGUAAUCUGCCUCGAGGUCCGGGAUAACUAGCCGAAAGGUUAGCUAAUACCGGGUAAGCCCACGAGCUCUCAGGAGCUUGAGGGAAAAGGCCGCAAGGUCGCCACGAGAUGAGCCCGCGGCCCAUCAGCUAGUUGGCGGGGUAACGGCCCACCAAGGCAACGACGGGUAGCUGGUCUGAGAGGACGGCCAGCCACACUGGAACUGAGACACGGUCCAGACUCCUACGGGAGGCAGCAGUGGGGAAUCUUGCGCAAUGGGCGAAAGCCUGACGCAGCGACGCCGCGUGUGCGAUGAAGGUCUUCGGAUCGUAAAGCACUGUCGCGAGGGACAAAACCGAAAGGGUGAUGGUACCUCGAAAGGAAGCACCGGCUAACUCUGUGCCAGCAGCCGCGGUAAUACAGAGGGUGCGAGCGUUGUUCGGAAUUAUUGGGCGUAAAGCGCAUGUAGGCGGCUUGUUAAGUCGCGUGUGAAAGCUCCAGGCUCAACCUGGAAAGUGCGCGCGAAACUGGCGAGCUUGAGUGCCGGAGAGGGUGGCGGAAUUCCCGGUGUAGAGGUGAAAUUCGUAGAUAUCGGGAGGAACACCAGAGGCGAAGGCGGCCACCUGGACGGACACUGACGCUGAGACGCGAAAGCGUGGGGAGCAAACAGGAUUAGAUACCCUGGUAGUCCACGCCGUAAACGAUGGAUGCUAGCUGUGUCGGGAGUUGACCCCUGACGUGGCGACGCUAACGCAAUAAGCAUCCCGCCUGGGAAGUACGGCCGCAAGGCUAA